Molecule: ribosomal RNA, 197 nt
Filed under: uncultured bacterium
Lineage: Bacteria
Description: partial 16S ribosomal RNA
Rfam family: Bacterial small subunit ribosomal RNA
Source: RNAcentral
ACGCUCGACACCUACGGGAGGCAGCAGUGGGGAAUAUUGCACAAUGGGGGAAACCCUGAUGCAGCGACGCCGCGUGAGCGAAGAAGUAUUUCGGUAUGUAAAGCUCUAUCAGCAGGGAAGAAACUGACGGUACCUGACUAAGAAGCACCGGCUAAAUACGUGCAGCAGCCGCGGUAAUCUGAGCGGGCUGGCAAGGC